RNAcentral lists this ribosomal RNA (869 nucleotides) under uncultured archaeon. Its description in RNAcentral is "bacterial SSU rRNA". It matches the Rfam family "Archaeal small subunit ribosomal RNA", at positions 1 to 878 of the family's 1478-position model. The record is from RNAcentral.
CUCCGGUUGAUCCUGCCGGACCCGACUGCUAUCAGAGUGGGACUAAGCCAUGCGAGUCAACAUAGCAAUAUGUGGCAUACGGCUCAGUAACACGUAGUCAACAUGCCCAGGGGACGUGGAUAACCUCGGGAAACUGAGGAUAAACCGCGAUAGGUCAUUACUUCUGGAAUGGGUAAUGACUUAAAUCUAUAUGGCCCCUGGAUUGGACUGCGGCCGAUCAGGCUGUUGGUGAGGUAAUGGCCCACCAAACCUGUAACCGGUACGGGCUCUGAGAGGAGGAGCCCGGAGAUGGGCACUGAGACAAGGGCCCAGGCCCUAUGGGGCGCAGCAGGCGCGAAACCUCUGCAAUAGGCGAAAGCUUGACAGGGUUACUCUGAGUGAUUUCCGUUAAGGAGAUCUUUUGGCACCUCUAAAAAUGGUGCAGAAUAAGGGGUGGGCAAGUCUGGUGUCAGCCGCCGCGGUAAUACCAGCACCCCGAGUGGUCGGGACGUUUAUUGGGCCUAAAGCAUCCGUAGCCGGUUCUACAAGUCUUCCGUUAAAUCCACCUGCUUAACAGAUGGGCUGCGGAAGAUACUAUAGAGCUAGGAGGCGGGAGAGGCAAGCGGUACUCGACGGGUAGGGGUAAAAUCCGUUGAUCCAUUGAAGACCACCAGUGGCGAAGGCGGCUUGCCAGAACGCGCUCGACGGUGAGGGAUGAAAGCUGGGGGAGCAAACCGGAUUAGAUACCCGGGUAGUCCCAGCUGUAAACGAUGCAGACUCGGUGAUGAGUUGGCUUAUUGCUAACUCAGUGCCGCAGGGAAGCCGUUAAGUUUGCCGCCUGGGGAGUACGGUCGCAAGACUGAAACUUAAAGGAAUUGGCGGGGGGAGCA